GAAUCCCUGCCGUUCAGGUGACGGGGGAUGGUGCUCGAACCAAUGUUAUAAAAAAUGGGAGCCGAGCCGCUCACCGGUCGCCAGCGGCGAAAGCCCUGGUGAUUCAGCGGUGUGUGGACCUGGCACCCCCCUGGUCUACCAGGUUAGAGUAACUCGCCCGCACGGUCCGGGCGGGGGUUCC
RNAcentral lists this non-coding RNA (181 nucleotides) under bacterium. RNAcentral describes it as "6S RNA". It matches the Rfam family "6S / SsrS RNA". Rfam says of the family: E. coli 6S RNA was the first non coding RNA to be sequenced, but its function was unknown until recently. It consists of 184 nucleotides that fold into an extended hairpin structure with a large single-stranded internal bulge. RNAcentral also lists the same sequence under 1 other name. The record is from RNAcentral.